Molecule: ribosomal RNA, 253 nt
Filed under: uncultured bacterium
Lineage: Bacteria
Description: partial 16S ribosomal RNA
Rfam family: Bacterial small subunit ribosomal RNA
Source: RNAcentral
UACAGAGGGUGCAAGCGUUAUUCGGAAUUAUUGGGCGUAAAGCGCAUGUAGGCGGUUUGGUAAGUCUGAUGUGAAAGCCCUCGGCUUAAUCGGGGAAGUGCAUCGGAUACUGCCAGACUGGAGUGCAGGAGAGGAGAACGGAAUUCCUGGUGUAGAGGUAAAAUUCGUAGAUAUCAGGAGGAACAACUGCGGCGAAGGCGGUUCUCUGGACUGCAACUGACGCUGAGAUGCGAAAGCGUGGGGAGCAAACAGG